AACGCGAAGAACCUUACCUGGUCUUGACAUCCACAGAACUUUCCAGAGAUGGAUUGGUGCCUUCGGGAACUCUGAGACAGGUGCUGCAUGGCUGUCGUCAGCUCGUGUUGUGAAAUGUUGGGUUAAGUCCCGCAACGAGCGCAACCCUUAUCCUUUGUUGCCAGCGGUUAGGCCGGGAACUCAAAGGAGACUGCCAGUGAUAAACUGGAGGAAGGUGGGGAUGACGUCAAGUCAUCAUGGCCCUUACGAGUAGGGCUACACACGUGCUACAAUGGCGCAUACAAAGAGAAGCGACCUCGCGAGAGCAAGCGGACCUCAUAAAGUGCGUCGUAGUCCGGAUUGGAGUCUGCAACUCGACUCCAUGAAGUCGGAAUCGCUAGUAAUCGUAGAUCAGAAUGCUACGGUGAAUACGUUCCCGGGUCUUGUACACACCG
RNAcentral lists this ribosomal RNA (434 nucleotides) under bacterium B22. Its description in RNAcentral is "bacterial SSU rRNA". It matches the Rfam family "Bacterial small subunit ribosomal RNA", at positions 958 to 1392 of the family's 1533-position model. The record is from RNAcentral.